This 59-nucleotide transfer RNA is filed under the name Prunus spinosa. Its description in RNAcentral is "partial tRNA-Lys". Lineage: Eukaryota; Viridiplantae; Streptophyta; Magnoliopsida; Rosales; Rosaceae. The record is from RNAcentral.
GGGUUGCCCGGGACUCGAACCCGGAACUAGUCGGUUAAAAGCCGAGUACUCUACCGUUG